RNAcentral lists this long non-coding RNA (244 nucleotides) under Gossypium barbadense (sea-island cotton). RNAcentral describes it as "long non-coding RNA (GBAR_LNC003081)". Lineage: Eukaryota; Viridiplantae; Streptophyta; Magnoliopsida; Malvales; Malvaceae. The record is from RNAcentral.
CGUGGUACCAGGUACAAGUUCGAUGCCAAAUUCUACCUCUCGAACAGGUGGCAACCCCGAUAACUCCUCAGGAAAAACAUCUGAAUACUCACAAACCACUGGUACCGAUUCAAGUUUCCUUUCCGUCUCUUUACUAUCAAAUACAUACACAAGAUAUGUUUCACACCCCUUCCUCACAUAUCUCUGAGCGAUCAUCGAGGAUAUUAUUGCUGGCACUCCCCUUAAAUCAGUAGACUCAACUCGG